This 540-nucleotide ribosomal RNA is filed under the name Conqueria laevis. RNAcentral describes it as "bacterial SSU rRNA". It matches the Rfam family "Eukaryotic small subunit ribosomal RNA", at positions 1220 to 1547 of the family's 1831-position model. Lineage: Eukaryota; Foraminifera; Astrorhizida; Saccamminidae. The record is from RNAcentral.
GGGUCCGGACACACUGAGGAUUGACAGGCGCUUGUAGUUAUGAGAUUAUUAAUUUAUUAAUAAUUAAAUUUCUGCUAUAAAUAUGCUAGUCCUUUCAUGAUUGUGUGAUAGGUGGUGCAUGGCCGUCCUUAGUUCGUGGAGUGAUCUGUCUGCUUAAUUGCGUUUCACUGUGGACAUUGUUAUAAUAGUGUGUGCACGCAUAACUUCGGUUAUGUUGUUGCCUACUGUUCCAAAUGUCCUGAAGGCAACGAACGUGACCGCAACCUCUUGUUGCCUCUUCCAAAUACUUAUUUUAUUAUCUUUUUUGAUAAUUGAGAUCGGUUUAUAGAGGCUAACUAGAGGGACCGCUGACAACUUUUAAAACAGAGGAAGGUUGCGGCAAUAACAGGUCUGUGAUGCCCUUAGAUGUUCCGGGCUGCACACGUGCUACAAUGAUUAUUGCACUGAGCAUCUAAUUUUAUUAAAAGUUCGUUUGGUUUAAUUUGAUCUUAACAGAUUAAAUAAAACUAACGACAUUUCCUACUUCGAAAGUAAGUAGGU